AGCAGUGUAGCUCAACGGAAAGAGCAUGGGCUUAGGAGUCAAAGGUCAUGGGUUCUAAUCCCGUCUCCACCA
Molecule: transfer RNA, 72 nt
Filed under: Ornithorhynchus anatinus (platypus)
Lineage: Eukaryota; Metazoa; Chordata; Mammalia; Monotremata; Ornithorhynchidae
Rfam family: tRNA
About the family: Transfer RNA (tRNA) molecules are approximately 80 nucleotides in length. Their secondary structure includes four short double-helical elements and three loops (D, anti-codon, and T loops). Further hydrogen bonds mediate the characteristic L-shaped molecular structure. tRNAs have two regions of fundamental functional importance: the anti-codon, which is responsible for specific mRNA codon recognition, and the 3' end, to which the tRNAs corresponding amino acid is attached (by aminoacyl-tRNA synthetases). tRNAs cope with the degeneracy of the genetic code in two manners: having more than one tRNA (with a specific anti-codon) for a particular amino acid; and 'wobble' base-pairing, i.e. permitting non-standard base-pairing at the 3rd anti-codon position.
Source: Rfam by way of RNAcentral